AGCAGUCGCCGCGGUAAUACGUAGGGUGCAAGCGUUAAUCGGAAUUAUUGGGCGUAAAGUGAGUGCAGACGGUUACUUAAGCCAGAUGUGAAAUCCCCAAGCUUAACUUGGGACGUGCAUUUGAAACUGGGUGACUAGAGUGUGUCAGAGGGAGGUAGAAUUCCACAUGUAGCGGUGGAAUGCGUAGAGAUGUGGAGGAAUACCGAUGGCGAAGGCAGCCUCCUGGGAUAACACUGACGUUGAGGCUCGAAAGCGUGGGGAGCAAACAGGAUUAGAUACCGUGUAGUCCCUGUCUCUUAUACA
Molecule: ribosomal RNA, 303 nt
Filed under: uncultured bacterium
Lineage: Bacteria
Description: partial 16S ribosomal RNA
Rfam family: Bacterial small subunit ribosomal RNA
Source: RNAcentral